RNAcentral lists this ribosomal RNA (779 nucleotides) under uncultured archaeon. RNAcentral describes it as "bacterial SSU rRNA". It matches the Rfam family "Archaeal small subunit ribosomal RNA", at positions 1 to 782 of the family's 1478-position model. The record is from RNAcentral.
UUCCGGUUGAUCCCGCCGGAGGCCAUUGCGGUUGGGAUCCGAUUUAGCCAUGCUAGUCGCACGAGUUCAGACUCGUGGCGAAUAGCUCAGUAACACGUGGCCAAACUACCCUUCGGAGCUCCAUACCCUCGGGAAACUGAGGCUAAUAGAGCAUCCCACACCACCACUGGAAUGAGUAGUGUGACAAACGCUCCGGCGCCGAAGGAUGUGGCUGCGGCCGAUUAGGUAGACGGUGGGGUAACGGCCCACCGUGCCAAUAAUCGGUAUGGGUCAUGAGAGUGAGAACCCAGAGACGGAAUCUGAGACAAGAUUCCGGGCCCUACGGGGCGCAGCAGGCGCGAAACCUUUACACUGCACGACAGUGCGAUAGGGGGAUCCCAAGUGCACAGGCAUAGCGCCUGUGCUUUUCGGCACCCUAAGGCGGUGCCAGAAUAAGGGCUGGGCAAGACCGGUGCCAGCCGCCGCGGUAAUACCGGCAGCCCGAGUGAUGGCCGAUCUUAUUGGGCCUAAAGCGUCCGUAGCUGGCCGCGCAAGUCCAUCGGGAAAUCCACCUGCCCAACAGGUGGGCGCCCGGUAGAAACUGCGUGGCUUGGGACCGGAAGGCGCGACGGGUACGUCCGGGGUAGGAGUGAAAUCCCGUAAUCCUGGACGGACCGCCGAUGGCGAAAGCACGUCGCGAGAACGGAUCCGACAGUGAGGGACGAAAGCCAGGGUCUCGAACCGGAUUAGAUACCCGGGUAGUCCUGGCCGUAAACAAUGUCUGCUAGGUGUGGCUCCCA